This is a long non-coding RNA of Phasianus colchicus (ring-necked pheasant), 1991 nucleotides long. Lineage: Eukaryota; Metazoa; Chordata; Aves; Galliformes; Phasianidae. The record is from Ensembl.
AACGUACAUGGGACUGCACUGCAGCCUGACCUGUGGAUCUGCAGCACAGCCCUGGUGGAGGGGAGCCUGCCAUCCCAGCCGUCAUGGGAGGACAUGCCAGGGCUCACCCAGUCCUUUGCACCCCGAAAUCCUCUGGCACUGGGGGCCCUCACCCAGGGGAUGCUGUACAGUGGCUGAUGGCUCUCACUGGGAAAUGUUUCCUCCUGGUGGCAAGAAGCAACUUUUGCUGGUGCCGUCUGUACCCACUGCCCUGUGCCCUCUCUGUGUGGCUCCUGGUGUCGGGACUCAAGAAGAGGAGUUAAUUUGUGGCUUGACUAAUGUGCAGAGCACACUCUGGCUGGCUCUGCUCCAUGCUGUGCUGCUGAGCUAACACUGCAAGAGGAACUCGAUCCCUAGAACAUUAGCAAGUUUGUUAAAGUCAGCAAUGCAGUGGGAAAAUAGGAAUUGCAUUUUAUGUGGACUGAGCUCACCUCAGCGUUUUACAAAAAGGUGGGGCUCUGCUCUGGUGAGGGCUGGGGCAGCUGUAUGCCAGUGCGAGGAAGAGGAGGAGAGAAAGAGGAACCUCAAUGACACAGAUAAGCCCCAAUGUCCCUGCUCAGCCCACGUACCCUUCCCUGCUCCCACACCCUCUUACCCAAGGCCAGGGCCAGUUUCAUUCCAUCCCAGUGGUGCUGCAGGAUCCCCAUCACACCCCAUGCCUGCCACAGGUGUGCCUGACCCAACCCAGAAUGCCCUUUCACAGGAGGCACAGCAGCAGUGCCCUGCCAAACCGUGGCCCUCCAUCAGCACAGCUCAGUGUGCCCAGGCUGGCCGUGCUGUUACCGCGAUUGCUGUGAUGGGCAUCGAGGCGGGCAGCUGCACUGCGGACAGUGAGCAGUGGCUUUGCAAUGCAGGACACCUGCCUGGUGAACCCACCUGCUCUAAUUCUCUACGCCUACUUUACUUCAUGUUUCUGUACGUUUCUGUAGCUUUUUUUUUUUUUUUCUACUGAAAGACUGAAUUUAUCUAAAUAUUUUUUUGAGCCCCAGCAAUGCAUUUGUCAUGGAUCAUAGUAUCACUGCUCAGUGUCAGUACCUCUUAAGUACAAAGGAAUCCCUCUGCAUACUGUCCUCUUCUGUGUUGGCUUUCCCUGCUCUGCAGAACUAAAACCCUUGGAGAAUGUCAGAGAACAGCCUUGCUGCAUUGGAGACUGGCACAGCACGGGGCUCUGCACAUGGAGGCCAGGUGGGAGAUCUGGCUCACUGAGUGCAGGACACCGAGGAAGCAGUAACUGAUCUGCAAAGCUGCAGAGUCCUGGGCACUGUGCCACCUCACAGCGUGACACGGUGAUGCAUGGUCACCAGCAUCCCCUGGGGUGGGUGAGCACAGCUGCAGAGCUCCUCGUCCUCAUCUCCUACAAGUCUGAGACAGUGCUGCAGUGGGUGGAUUCAUUGACAGAACUGAGCCAUCUGGCCAGACCAUGCCUGUUCCAUUCUGUUAAUGGCCCUGGGAUGCAGGCAGGGCAGGGGCUGAGUGGUAGGGAGCCCUGCUGUGAGGCUGUGUGUGCUGCCUGCCACGAAGCUGCGCUGAGCAGUGCCAGGAGCACAGGAAACAGGCAGCUGUCGCCUGCCCAGCACAUACAGACUGCCAUCCCUGUGAGGGCUCAGGGUGCUGCUCACCCCUGGGCUCCCCAGCACUGGAGCUGCACCGCUUGCUGUGCUGCAAUCUGCGCUUACUGCAGCACUGCUGCUGUCUGUGCAUCAUUCCUGCUAGAGAACAAAUCUGAACGUGCUGACUAACUGGAACACCCUGGAUGGGAGGAUUCUGGCCUGUUUCCCAGCGAGAGGCUGAGUGCCCCCGUGCAGCUCCUGGGAACAAACAGCCCGCUCGCAUCGCAGCUCACAGACGCCAGGUGUCAGCUCCCCUACUGACAGAAACCAUCAGCGGAUAGAAGAUAUCCUGCAGUUCAGGGGUGCCUUCCCAAAGCUGGCACUACCAGCACGUAACUCCAG